AUUGAACGCUGGCGGCAUGCCUUACACAUGCAAGUCGAACGGCAGCACGGGAGCAAUCCUGGUGGCGAGUGGCGAACGGGUGAGUAAUAUAUCGGAACGUGCCCAGUCGUGGGGGAUAACGUAGCGAAAGCUACGCUAAUACCGCAUACUAUCUAUGGAUGAAAGCGGGGGAUCGCAAGACCUCGCGCGAUUGGAGCGGCCGAUAUCAGAUUAGGUAGUUGGUGAGGUAAAGGCUCACCAAGCCGACGAUCUGUAGCUGGUCUGAGAGGACGACCAGCACACUGGACGUGAGACACGGCCCAGACUCCUACGGAGGCAGCAGUGGGGAAUUUUUGGACAAUGGGCGCGAAGCCUCGAUCCAGCAAUGCCGCGUGCAGGAUGAAGG
This 385-nucleotide ribosomal RNA is filed under the name uncultured bacterium. RNAcentral's name for it is "bacterial SSU rRNA". It matches the Rfam family "Bacterial small subunit ribosomal RNA", at positions 30 to 414 of the family's 1533-position model. The record is from RNAcentral.